GGGCCCAUAGCUCAGCUGGUUAGAGCGCACGACUGAUAAUCGUGAGGUCGGAAGUUCAAGUCUUCUUGGGCCCACCA
Molecule: transfer RNA, 77 nt
Filed under: Oscillospiraceae bacterium
Lineage: Bacteria; Bacillati; Bacillota; Clostridia; Eubacteriales; Oscillospiraceae
Description: tRNA-Ile
Rfam family: tRNA
About the family: Transfer RNA (tRNA) molecules are approximately 80 nucleotides in length.
Source: RNAcentral